Molecule: ribosomal RNA, 252 nt
Filed under: uncultured Nocardioides sp.
Lineage: Bacteria; Bacillati; Actinomycetota; Actinomycetes; Propionibacteriales; Nocardioidaceae
Description: partial 16S ribosomal RNA
Rfam family: Bacterial small subunit ribosomal RNA
Source: RNAcentral
CGUAGGGUCCGAGCGUUGUCCGGAAUUAUUGGGCGUAAAGGACUCGUAGGCGGUUUGUCGCGUCGGGAGUGAAAACACCGGGCUUAACUCGGUGCUUGCUUUCGAUACGGGCAGACUGGAGGUAUGCAGGGGAGAACGGAAUUCCUGGUGUAGCGGUGAAAUGCGCAGAUAUCAGGAGGAACACCGGUGGCGAAGGCGGUUCUCUGGGCAUUACCUGACGCUGAGGAGCGAAAGUGUGGGGAGCGAACAGGA